UGCAAGCGGGGCUCAGCUCUCUUUGAAGUGAGGUGAAGCAGGGCUGUUUUGACAAAGUCAUUGCUGUGAUCAAGAGCGAGAGUUUGAUAUUGGGAGCAGCAGUAGGAGUCAUGGGUGUUGUUGAGAUUGGAUCCCUGAUCCUGUCCAUAAUUCUCUUCAUAAAGCUGGGCAGCAUGCAUUACGAAGGGAGACAGAGAAUCAGGCCAGAAACUUCUGGAGAGAAGUUGGACAUUGGAGAGAAGUUGGACAUUGGAGAGAAGUUGCACAUUGGAGAGACAGACAACAUGAUUAAGGCAACAUGACUAAAGCCAGGGUGACGGCAACAAAGCAUUACUUUUCUUGCAGAGAUUUUUCAAUUCGAUUGGUUAUGUAUAAACAUUAAUUCAACCAUAUUAAAACUUGUUUUUGGG
Long non-coding RNA from Clupea harengus (Atlantic herring), 410 nucleotides. The record is from Ensembl. NCBI's taxonomy places the organism in Eukaryota, Metazoa, Chordata, Actinopteri, Clupeiformes, Clupeidae.